Molecule: long non-coding RNA, 343 nt
Organism: Etheostoma cragini (Arkansas darter)
Lineage: Eukaryota; Metazoa; Chordata; Actinopteri; Perciformes; Percidae
Exons: 3
Source: RefSeq, a predicted model, not a curated record
AAGCUUAAACUUAGCCAAAAGUCUCAGCUGAAAGAAACUGUUUUUAACAACAGAACUAAUCUGUUUGUCAAAUUUAAAAGCACUGUCAACAAUCACACCCAAAUUCUUGGUAAAAGGACAAAUAUGGGAAAAUACAGUACCAACACCAGCAUCUACACAGGCACUAAAAUGUUCAGCACAACCAAACACCACAAUUUCAGUCUUACUGUCAUUGAAAAAUAGAGAAAAUUCUGAUCCAACCAUACUUUGAGAUCUCUCAAGCAGUUAAGCAAAGUGUGUCCUUAUCGUUGUUUUUUACAGGCAAAUAUAUUUGUACAUUGUCUGCAAAAGAAUGAAACAAAAU